AGGGAAUCUUCCGCAAUGGGCGAAAGCCUGACGGAGCGACGCCGCGUGAGCGAGGAAGGCCUUCGGGUCGUAAAGCUCUGUUGUCAGGGAAGAAGGCGCGCUGUUCGAAUAGGGCGGCGCGGUGACGGUACCUGACGAGGAAGCCCCGGCUAACUACGUGCCAGCAGCCGCGGUAAAACGUAGGGGGCGAGCGUUGUCCGGAAUUACUGGGCGUAAAGCGCGCGCAGGCGGUCCUUUAAGUCUGAUGUGAAAUUCCGCGGCUCAACCGCGGGUGUGCAUUGGAAACUGGGGGACUUGAGUGCGGAAGAGGGGAGCGGAAUUCCCGGUGUAGCGGUGAAAUGCGUAGAGAUCGGGAGGAACACCAGUGGCGAAGGCGGCUCUCUGGUCCGCAACUGACGCUGAGGCGCGAAAGCGUGGGGAGCGAAC
Molecule: ribosomal RNA, 426 nt
Filed under: uncultured bacterium
Lineage: Bacteria
Description: bacterial SSU rRNA
Rfam family: Bacterial small subunit ribosomal RNA
Source: RNAcentral